Molecule: long non-coding RNA, 335 nt
Organism: Planococcus citri (citrus mealybug)
Lineage: Eukaryota; Metazoa; Arthropoda; Insecta; Hemiptera; Pseudococcidae
Exons: 3
Source: RefSeq, a predicted model, not a curated record
UAUCAUUAAAAAUUUUAUUCCAACGCAUUCACAAAUAUGAAGGACACACACAUUUCCGUUUACAAAUGGGAUUCUUAUCGCCUGGGAUACUGACUGACGUAGUUUGUUGUAGUUACUUAUAUUCAACGUUGGUAGCCCAGCUCGAAUAUUUCCUGUAACCUUAAUUUGUAUUUGUACGUUCUCAAUUGUAACAAGAAAACUACCCUAAGGACCACUUCCAUAGUUUGUUGUACCGAAUUUUGAAAAAUUGGAUGUUCACUACAAGCAUCGAACCCUAAUUUAUAAAAUUCACAUUGAAUUUGGUGAUUAUUUUCGAGACGAAUUGUAGCCAGAAA